GCUUCUUCUUCAGUCAUUUCAGCUAUAUUAUUGCUCAACUUCCCAGCUCUCACAGUGUCCACAGUCUCCAACUUGUGUUGUUCAUAUGCAGCAUAAACUUCUUCAGUAUAUUCCCCAAAGCCAAGAACCUCUAAGGCUUUGAGUACAUGUUCUGGUGCAAUUGUUCGUUUAUCUUCUCUAUUACAAACUUCAUUUGAUUCUGAUGAGAUAAGAUUGAUGA
This 220-nucleotide unclassified non-coding RNA is filed under the name Hevea brasiliensis (rubber tree). Lineage: Eukaryota; Viridiplantae; Streptophyta; Magnoliopsida; Malpighiales; Euphorbiaceae. The record is from RNAcentral.